This 564-nucleotide long non-coding RNA is filed under the name Marmota monax (woodchuck). Lineage: Eukaryota; Metazoa; Chordata; Mammalia; Rodentia; Sciuridae. The record is from RNAcentral.
AAAAACAAAAGGCCAGGGCCCACUGAUUUAUCAACAUAGGCUGGCUGCCCCCAUUUUAGUUCCCCUCCUGGCUGGUAUGGAAAUAGCUGGAUCUUCUGCUUUGGGAACUACAACUCUUAUCACAGGCUCUAAAAAUUUUAAGUCCCUCAGCUGUCAAAUAGAUAUAAAUUUAAACUUCAGGCAAUUGGUUCCAAAACCUAUUCUCAUGGUCCCCUUGGUUGACUACCAUCAUUUCAGCCAUAGUUAGGCCCUAGUCCUUCUCCUGAUUGGGAUUACUGUAGGACUCUGCCUCUUAAAAACCCUCCUAAACCAUGUACACAAGAAUGUAGGUGAGGUCAGACUUAUGGUCUUGCAAGCCCUGUAUCCUUAGACACAAAAGGAUGGAAAAAACCCUGAGGCCUAAUGAUGUGAAAGAUUGACAUCAAACCUACUAAAACCAGUGGAGAAUGUGAUAGAAGCAAAUGUGACUCCAUUUUGUUUUAUGACUCCAUCCUGUAAAACAACCAUGCCAAGUAGAAGGAUCAUGACUGGGGCAAGAUGUUCUUUUCCUUUUGCUAUAGAAAC